AUUUAUAAAUAAUUGUUAGAUAAACUUCAACUUAAAACAUUUCUAGGAUUAGUAAUGGCGAAAGAAAUUUAUCAAGUUAUAAUUAAAGUACUGUGAAGGAAAAUAAAAAUUAAUGUAAAGAAAAAAUUAAAUCUUGUACCUUUUGCAUCAUGGUUUAGCCAGAUUUCGUUUUCUUAGGGAAUUUUCUCGAAAUCUAAUGAGCUAUUUUUAGUUAGUAUUUUAGAUACUAAGAAAGUAAUUGUAGCAAAAAUUUUUUCAAAACUAAAAAUAGAAAUGAAAUUUUAUUCGUAUUAGAUGAUAGCUAGUUCUUUCUGAAAAGUAUAGUAGUACUACAGACUUAAUUUUAUUAUAAAAAACAUAUUGUUAGAAUAAAUCGAAGUCUAGUUAAAUUCUUGAGGAUAAGCUCAUGAAUAAGAUAAAACUGUAUAUUAUAUGUAAGUAGUUAAAUUUAGGCUUGAAAAUGGCCAUGAUUUAUGAUUUUGUUAUAAUUUCAUUACCUAUUAUGACAUAAAAUAAAUAUAUUUGCUUUUAAGAAAGAAAGUUUUAAAAUUUAAAUUAAACCUAAUUGAAUGCUAAAAUGAGUAUUAAUUACUUUAUUCUUUUUUACUACUAUAAAAAAAUAAAUUAUAUUUAAAGUCAAAAUUUUAAAUUUUUAAAAGGAACUCGGCAAAUAUAUAUUCUGCCUGUUUAUCAAAAACAUGGCUCCUUGUUAUACGUUUAUAGGGAGUCGGACCUGCUCGGUGAAAUAUUUUAACAGCCGCGGUACUCUGACCGUGCAAAGGUAGCAUAAUCAUUUGCCUUAUAAUUGAAGGCUAGUAUGAAUGGUUUGACAAGAAUUAAGCUGUCUCUUUUUAAUUAAACAUAAUUUUAUAGAUAGGUGAAGAAGCCUAUAUUACAUUGAAAGACAAGAAGACCCUGUCGAGCUUAAAAUAAAUUAGUAAAUUAUGUGCAUAUUCCAUAAAAUAAUUAAGUUACUAAAAAUUUUGGUUGGGGCGACUGAGGAACAAAAGAAGCUUCCUUUUAACUAAAAAAUACAAGCAAGUGUUGAUCCAAAAGGUUUGAUUAAAGAAAUUAGUUACCGCAGGGAUAACAGCAUAAUCCUCUUUGAGAGUUCUAAUCGAAAAGGGGGUUUGUGACCUCGAUGUUGGACCAGAAUAUCCUAAAGAUGCAGCUGUCUUUAAUGGUUGGUCUGUUCGACCAUUAAAAUUCU
Molecule: ribosomal RNA, 1210 nt
Filed under: Plicopurpura patula
Lineage: Eukaryota; Metazoa; Mollusca; Gastropoda; Neogastropoda; Muricidae
Description: partial large subunit ribosomal RNA
Rfam family: Archaeal large subunit ribosomal RNA (bases 637-1210)
Source: RNAcentral